This is a small nucleolar RNA of Lepidothrix coronata (blue-crowned manakin), 80 nucleotides long. The record is from Ensembl. NCBI's taxonomy places the organism in Eukaryota, Metazoa, Chordata, Aves, Passeriformes, Pipridae.
CAGCCUGAAGUGAUGAGCUCAGUUCAUGUCUCUUCUCUGAGAUGUACCCUGGAGAUACUGCAAACACUCUGAUCAGGCAG